This 2928-nucleotide ribosomal RNA is filed under the name Escherichia coli. RNAcentral describes it as "23S ribosomal RNA". It matches the Rfam family "Bacterial large subunit ribosomal RNA". The record is from RNAcentral. Lineage: Bacteria; Pseudomonadati; Pseudomonadota; Gammaproteobacteria; Enterobacterales; Enterobacteriaceae.
GGGUUGUGAGGUUAAGCGACUAAGCGUACACGGUGGAUGCCCUGGCAGUCAGAGGCGAUGAAGGACGUGCUAAUCUGCGAUAAGCGUCGGUAAGGUGAUAUGAACCGUUAUAACCGGCGAUUUCCGAAUGGGGAAACCCAGUGUGUUUCGACACACUAUCAUUAACUGAAUCCAUAGGUUAAUGAGGCGAACCGGGGGAACUGAAACAUCUAAGUACCCCGAGGAAAAGAAAUCAACCGAGAUUCCCCAGUAGCGGCGAGCGAACGGGGAGCAGCCCAGAGCCUGAAUCAGUGUGUGUGUUAGUGGAAGCGUCUGGAAAGGCGCGCGAUACAGGGUGACAGCCCCGUACACAAAAAUGCACAUGCUGUGAGCUCGAUGAGUAGGGCGGGACACGUGGUAUCCUGUCUGAAUAUGGGGGACCAUCCUCCAAGGCUAAAUACUCCUGACUGACCGAUAGUGAACCAGUACCGUGAGGGAAAGGCGAAAAGAACCCCGGCGAGGGGAGUGAAAAAGAACCUGAAACCGUGUACGUACAAGCAGUGGGAGCACGCUUAGGCGUGUGACUGCGUACCUUUUGUAUAAUGGGUCAGCGACUUAUAUUCUGUAGCAAGGUUAACCGAAUAGGGGAGCCGAAGGGAAACCGAGUCUUAACUGGGCGUUAAGUUGCAGGGUAUAGACCCGAAACCCGGUGAUCUAGCCAUGGGCAGGUUGAAGGUUGGGUAACACUAACUGGAGGACCGAACCGACUAAUGUUGAAAAAUUAGCGGAUGACUUGUGGCUGGGGGUGAAAGGCCAAUCAAACCGGGAGAUAGCUGGUUCUCCCCGAAAGCUAUUUAGGUAGCGCCUCGUGAAUUCAUCUCUGGGGGUAGAGCACUGUUUCGGCAAGGGGGUCAUCCCGACUUACCAACCCGAUGCAAACUGCGAAUACCGGAGAAUGUUAUCACGGGAGACACACGGCGGGUGCUAACGUCCGUCGUGAAGAGGGAAACAACCCAGACCGCCAGCUAAGGUCCCAAAGUCAUGGUUAAGUGGGAAACGAUGUGGGAAGGCCCAGACAGCCAGGAUGUUGGCUUAGAAGCAGCCAUCAUUUAAAGAAAGCGUAAUAGCUCACUGGUCGAGUCGGCCUGCGCGGAAGAUGUAACGGGGCUAAACCAUGCACCGAAGCUGCGGCAGCGACGCUUAUGCGUUGUUGGGUAGGGGAGCGUUCUGUAAGCCUGCGAAGGUGUGCUGUGAGGCAUGCUGGAGGUAUCAGAAGUGCGAAUGCUGACAUAAGUAACGAUAAAGCGGGUGAAAAGCCCGCUCGCCGGAAGACCAAGGGUUCCUGUCCAACGUUAAUCGGGGCAGGGUGAGUCGACCCCUAAGGCGAGGCCGAAAGGCGUAGUCGAUGGGAAACAGGUUAAUAUUCCUGUACUUGGUGUUACUGCGAAGGGGGGACGGAGAAGGCUAUGUUGGCCGGGCGACGGUUGUCCCGGUUUAAGCGUGUAGGCUGGUUUUCCAGGCAAAUCCGGAAAAUCAAGGCUGAGGCGUGAUGACGAGGCACUACGGUGCUGAAGCAACAAAUGCCCUGCUUCCAGGAAAAGCCUCUAAGCAUCAGGUAACAUCAAAUCGUACCCCAAACCGACACAGGUGGUCAGGUAGAGAAUACCAAGGCGCUUGAGAGAACUCGGGUGAAGGAACUAGGCAAAAUGGUGCCGUAACUUCGGGAGAAGGCACGCUGAUAUGUAGGUGAAGUCCCUCGCGGAUGGAGCUGAAAUCAGUCGAAGAUACCAGCUGGCUGCAACUGUUUAUUAAAAACACAGCACUGUGCAAACACGAAAGUGGACGUAUACGGUGUGACGCCUGCCCGGUGCCGGAAGGUUAAUUGAUGGGGUCAGCGCAAGCGAAGCUCUUGAUCGAAGCCCCGGUAAACGGCGGCCGUAACUAUAACGGUCCUAAGGUAGCGAAAUUCCUUGUCGGGUAAGUUCCGACCUGCACGAAUGGCGUAAUGAUGGCCAGGCUGUCUCCACCCGAGACUCAGUGAAAUUGAACUCGCUGUGAAGAUGCAGUGUACCCGCGGCAAGACGGAAAGACCCCGUGAACCUUUACUAUAGCUUGACACUGAACAUUGAGCCUUGAUGUGUAGGAUAGGUGGGAGGCUUAGAAGUGUGGACGCCAGUCUGCAUGGAGCCGACCUUGAAAUACCACCCUUUAAUGUUUGAUGUUCUAACGUUGACCCGUAAUCCGGGUUGCGGACAGUGUCUGGUGGGUAGUUUGACUGGGGCGGUCUCCUCCUAAAGAGUAACGGAGGAGCACGAAGGUUGGCUAAUCCUGGUCGGACAUCAGGAGGUUAGUGCAAUGGCAUAAGCCAGCUUGACUGCGAGCGUGACGGCGCGAGCAGGUGCGAAAGCAGGUCAUAGUGAUCCGGUGGUUCUGAAUGGAAGGGCCAUCGCUCAACGGAUAAAAGGUACUCCGGGGAUAACAGGCUGAUACCGCCCAAGAGUUCAUAUCGACGGCGGUGUUUGGCACCUCGAUGUCGGCUCAUCACAUCCUGGGGCUGAAGUAGGUCCCAAGGGUAUGGCUGUUCGCCAUUUAAAGUGGUACGCGAGCUGGGUUUAGAACGUCGUGAGACAGUUCGGUCCCUAUCUGCCGUGGGCGCUGGAGAAUUGAGGGGGCUGCUCCUAGUACGAGAGGACCGGAGUGGACGCAUCACUGGUGUUCGGGUUGUCAUGCCAAUGGCACUGCCCGGUAGCUAAAUGCGGAAGAGAUAAGUGCUGAAAGCAUCUAAGCACGAAACUUGCCCCGAGAUGAGUUCUCCCUGACUCCUUGAGAGUCCUGAAGGAACGUUGAAGACGACGACGUUGAUAGGCCGGGUGUGUAAGCGCAGCGAUGCGUUGAGCUAACCGGUACUAAUGAACCGUGAGGCUUAACCUUACAACGCCGAAGGUGUUU